This is a non-coding RNA of Drosophila virilis, 1174 nucleotides long. Lineage: Eukaryota; Metazoa; Arthropoda; Insecta; Diptera; Drosophilidae. The record is from RefSeq and is a predicted model, not a curated record.
CUGUGAGUGUGUGUGUGUUCAUUAGUAUUUGUGUUAAAUAAUGUUUAAACAUUUUUUUAAUUCGCACAAACUUUAAUGCGUUGCAGUUCAGCAAAAGCUACAACGCCAGCAACCUGCCAACAACAACAAAAACAACAACAACAACAACUCAUGCGGUGCCCAAAAGCCAACGUAAGCUUUAGCCGCCCCGCAAGAAGAGCAGCAGCAAAAGAAAAUCAACAACAACAACAACAACAACAGCAGCAGCAACAGCAACAACAACAACAAAAGCAAAAAGUUAACGGGAGCAACGGCGCCAUUCGGCGCAGCUCUCAAAUUCUCAGGAGUUGCUAUUGCUGCACGCAUUAACAUUGGAUUAGUCCCCACCCCGCACCCCAACAUUCCCCCAGCUCUGAGGUACUCAUGUAGGGGCAUUAAAAGCAAUUGUGGAACAGCAACAACAACACCAACAACAAUAACAACAUCGACAGUAACGGGACAUGGAUAUUCAUAUGAAAAAACUAACAAAACCACGGUACUGCAACUUCAAAUUUGUUACACAAACUACACACACACAAAGCAAUAAAAAGACUUACAUGUAAUCAAAAUAACAAGAACAAAUGUAACCAAAAUCGGCAUUUAUACUGAAAAGGCUGUUAAAAACAAAAAAACAAAAAAACAAAAAAAAAAAAACAAAUCGUUCAUAAAUUUUUUUACUUAAACGCAACGAACUAACAAAAUAGACACGCCAAGUGCUUCCAAAACUGUAUAAAAGGCCGGUGCCUGCAACAGAAAGAGAGAAAGAGAGAGAGAGAGAGAGAAAGAGAGCGAAGAUAGAGACACAUACACACACGCACACACACUGAGAGCAACAGCAGCAGCUUUGACAGCGAGCCGCAAAUGAUAGCGAAAAUGUUGCGGCCACACACAAGGGCAGCAACAACAGCAACAACAACAACAGCAACAACAGCAACAACAACAACAAGAAAGGCAAACACAGCACAGAAAGAAAUUCAAGAGAGCAACAACAAACAAUACAAAUCGCCGCGACGCCGCUUCUGCCAUCACAAGGGCAAAAUCACAACGAUAACAUAGGCGCGUCAAAGCAACAGAAAGAGAGUGAGAGAGAGAGCAUUGGGAGAGCGAAAGAACGAGCGCGACAAACUUUUACAAACACUUUCUGUUUAACCCUAUA